AUGGAGGAGCUGUGGAAGGACAUGUCGCUGUGCUCCACCCCGCUCGCGCUACAGUCCUACCACCUCCACUCCCCGGCCGCCGCUCCCUACCGCGGCGCCGCCCACCCGCAGGACUACCUCGCCGGCGCCGUUCCGCAGCCUCCCCGCACGCCGCCGCCUCACACGGCGCUCACCCUGGAGUUCACCUGCCCCGGCGGGACCGGCGCUGCCAACCCGGCCACCAGCUCCGGCGACGACCCAGCCGGCUGUCACUUUGGCUUGUCCGCGUCCGGAGGCACCAGCAAGAGAGCCGCUGUGCAGCCAGUGGCGGGCGGCGACCGGCGGCAACGCCGGAUGAUCAAGAACCGGGAGUCGGCGGCGCGGAUGCUCAUCCAGCGCGAGCAGGACUUCAUCAACGAUCGUUUGGCGAAGGCGGCGCAGGCACCCGUCCCCGACUGCAGCAGCGGCAGCACUACUAGUACCCUCCAGCAGAAGCAGCAGCGGCAGAAGAGGUGCCGCUCCGCCCCUGCGCCAUGA
This 516-nucleotide ribosomal RNA is filed under the name Triticum aestivum (bread wheat). RNAcentral's name for it is "partial small subunit ribosomal RNA". Lineage: Eukaryota; Viridiplantae; Streptophyta; Magnoliopsida; Poales; Poaceae. The record is from RNAcentral.